GUCUUUUUGUUAAUAAUUUAAAGUCGAAUCUGCCCACUGAUUAAUAAUUAAAGGGCUGCAGUAUAUUGACUGUACAAAGGUAGCAUAAUAAUUAGUCUUUUAAUUGAAGACUUGUAUGAAAGAUUUGAUGAGAUAUAAACUGUCUCUUUUUUAUAAUUAGAAUUUAAUUUUUUAGUAAAAAAGCUAAAAUUAUUUUAAAAGACGAGAAGACCCUAUAGAGUUUUAUAAUUUAAUUAAUUAAAAAUUUAUUUAAAAUUUAAAAAAUAAUUAAGUUUAAUUAUUUUAUUGGGGUGAUAAAAAAAUUAAAAUAACUUUUUUUUUAAUUUGAACAUUAAUUGAUGACUAAUUGAUCCAUAUUUUAUGAUUAUAAGAAAAAAUUACCUUAGGGAUAACAGCGUAAUUUUUUUUUUUAGUUCUUAUAAGAAAAAAAGUUUGCGACCUCGAUGUUGGAUUAAGAUAAAAUUUAAAUGCAGAAGUUUAAAAUUUUGAUCUGUUCGAUCAUUAAAAUCUUACA
RNAcentral lists this ribosomal RNA (514 nucleotides) under Baoris farri. RNAcentral's name for it is "partial 16S ribosomal RNA". The stretch from base 388 to 514 matches the Rfam family "Bacterial large subunit ribosomal RNA", at positions 2473 to 2600 of the family's 2925-position model. Lineage: Eukaryota; Metazoa; Arthropoda; Insecta; Lepidoptera; Hesperiidae. The record is from RNAcentral.